RNAcentral lists this ribosomal RNA (439 nucleotides) under uncultured bacterium. RNAcentral's name for it is "partial 16S ribosomal RNA". It matches the Rfam family "Bacterial small subunit ribosomal RNA", at positions 339 to 795 of the family's 1533-position model. The record is from RNAcentral.
CUACGGGCGGCACCAGUGGGGAAUAUUGCACAAUGGAGGAAACUCUGAUGCAGCAACGCCGCGUGGGGGAUGACACAUUUCGGUGCGUAAACUCCUUUUAUAUACAAAGAUAAUGACGGUAGUAUAUGAAUAAGCAUCGGCUAACUCCGUGCCAGCAGCCGCGGUAAUACGGAGGAUGCAAGCGUUACUCGGAAUCACUGGGCGUAAAGAGCAUGUAGGCUGGUUGAUCAGUCAGGUGUGAAAUCCAAUGGCUUAACCAUUGAACUGCACUUGAAACUGUCAACCUAGAGUAUGGAAGGGGCAGAUGGAAUUAGUGGUGUAGGGGUAAAAUCCGUAGAUAUCACUAGGAAUACCUAAAGCGAAGGCGAUCUCCUGGAACAUUACUGACGCUAAGGCGUGAAAGCGUGGGGAGCAAACAGGAUUAGAUACCCGUGUAGUC